AUUGAUGAAUGUUUGACCAACCCAUGUCAUGUCAAUGCCAGUUGUACUGACACUGAAGGUUCUUUUGUUUGUCAAUGUAAUAGUGGGUAUUCUGGAAAUGGAUUUAAUUGUUCCAGUAAGUAAAUCGUUCAUUCACGUGUUUAAAGUUUUGUACCUUUCUAGCAAUCACUUAUUUUAAUUUUGGGAUAGGUAAUAGGACCUCUACAUGCGUCUUGGACCUGUGGUUUACUUAUAAUCAUUAUUUAUCUCAUGGAUUUCUUAUAUUUUCAACGGGGUCUUGAAAGUAGACCAUGCCGUGAAAUAUUGUAUAAAAGGUGCACGCGUAUUAUGCGUGCGUUGCUUUGUGUCUUUUUGUGUCAAUCCAUUGUAGAAAUAUCGUAAUUGAAGUUAACAUGUACGGUAUGUAAAGUUAUUACUUGGUAAUUGAUAGGUGUAAUUUGAUGAUGCACAUGAAUUUAUCACAGGGUCGCAUUUGACCAUACUGCGAUAUUGCAAAUUAGGAAUUGGUAACAAGACUUGUGAUUUUGUGUUGUGUAAUUUUCCAGUAUCUCAUCUGAGUAAAUGGUUUUCCCAAAUAUAUCUUCACAGGGUCCGGAAAGUAGACCAUGCAGUAAGAUAUUGCGGUAAACUUAGUCUUUGUUGGUCACUGUGUAUUUCCACUGUGGUAUUUCGUAAUGUGUCCAUCAAAUGUGGUUAAGGCUAUGUGAGGAUUGUAAGCCAUGACGUACUAUAUACUAUAUGGAUUAAUACUUUUAAGUAAUAUAUGUAUAAUAAGAUUGAUUGUCCAAAGCAGUCCGAAGUAGUCCGAGCGAGUUUCGCGUUUCAACAUGGUAAGAAUAGUGUGAUAUAUUGGGUCAAUAUCAUUAAUUAAAAAUGACUCUAGAGAAAGGCGAACAUGGGUCGAACGGCAUGCGGAAUCGCCCUGGACAAAUCAUCCCACUGGUACAACAAAAUUGCAUUAAGGAGAUAAAUGGAUGAUAUUGGAGAGAUGUUGUGAUUUUUAAUGAAACAUUGAAUAAUGACGUGACUGUGUAUUGGGGCUAUAGCAAACCUCACAGAGUCUUGGGUUGACCUUGCUUGUGAAGUAUGUUAGCGGAUGGUAUAUCAUAUGGAAGAUUCAGUACAUAUAGUUGUGUUAAUUGUGCUUUUUCAUUUGUUUGGCCCCUUUUUUCUAGACAUUGAUGAAUGUUUGACCAACCCAUGUCAUGUCAAUGCCAGUUGUACUGACACUGAAGGUUCUUUUGUUUGUCAAUGUAAUAGUGGGUAUUCUGGAAAUGGAUUUUAUUGUUCCU
Non-coding RNA from Paramuricea clavata, 1292 nucleotides. The record is from the annotation of a GenBank genome assembly. NCBI's taxonomy places the organism in Eukaryota, Metazoa, Cnidaria, Anthozoa, Malacalcyonacea, Plexauridae.